GUUUCAAUUCCUCGUAGGUAAGUUAAAAAC
Molecule: non-coding RNA, 30 nt
Filed under: Paenibacillus tyrphae
Lineage: Bacteria; Bacillati; Bacillota; Bacilli; Caryophanales; Paenibacillaceae
Source: RNAcentral